UGGGGAAUAUUGGACAAUGGUGGAAACCCUGAUCCAGCAAUGCCGCGUGAGUGAAGAAGGCCUUAGGGUUGUAAAGCUCUUUCGCCCGCGAAGAUAAUGACGGUAGCGGGAGAAGAAGCCCCGGCUAACUCCGUGCCAGCAGCCGCGGUAAUACGGAGGGGGCUAGCGUUGUUCGGAAUUACUGGGCGUAAAGCGUACGUAGGCGGAUGCGCAAGUUGGGGUUGAAAUCCCGGGGCUUAACCUCGGAAUUGCCCUCAAAACUGCACGUCUUGAGACCGAGAGAGGUAAGGGGAAUUCCUAGUGUAGAGGUGAAAUUCGUAGAUAUUAGGAAGAACACCAGUGGCGAAGGCGCCUUACUGGCUCGGUACUGACGCUGAGGUACGAAAGCGUGGGGAGCAAACA
This 402-nucleotide ribosomal RNA is filed under the name uncultured bacterium. Its description in RNAcentral is "bacterial SSU rRNA". It matches the Rfam family "Bacterial small subunit ribosomal RNA", at positions 355 to 774 of the family's 1533-position model. The record is from RNAcentral.